Molecule: non-coding RNA, 27 nt
Filed under: Rattus norvegicus (Norway rat)
Lineage: Eukaryota; Metazoa; Chordata; Mammalia; Rodentia; Muridae
Source: RNAcentral
UCUUAUCUGUAAACAGAGGGCCGAGGU